CGAGUCUUAACUGGGCGAAUGAGUUGCAGGGUAUAGACCCGAAACCCGGUGAUCUAUCCAUGGGCAGGUUGAAGGUUGGGUAACACUAACUGGAGGACCGAACCGACUAAUGUUGAAAAAUUAGCGGAUGACUUGUGGAUGGGGGUGAAAGGCCAAUCAAACCGGGAGAUAGCUGGUUCUCCCCGAAAGCUAUUUAGGUAGCGCCUCGUGAACUCAUCUUCGGGGGUAGAGCACUGUUUCGACUAGGGGGUCAUCCCGACUUACCAACUCGAUGCAAACUGCGAAUACCGAAGAAUGUUAUCACGGGAGACACACGGCGGGUGCUAACGUCCGUCGUGAAGAGGGAAACAACCCAGACCGCCAGCUAAGGUCCCAAAGUCAUGGUUAAGUGGGAAACGAAGUGGGAAGGCUCAGACAGCCAGGAUGUUGGCUUAGAAGCAGCCAUCAUUUAAAGAAAGCGUAAUAGCUCACUGGUCGAGUCGGCCCGCGCGGAAGAUGUAACGGGGCUAAACCAUGCAC
This 519-nucleotide ribosomal RNA is filed under the name Proteus mirabilis. RNAcentral's name for it is "partial 23S ribosomal RNA". It matches the Rfam family "Bacterial large subunit ribosomal RNA", at positions 678 to 1194 of the family's 2925-position model. The record is from RNAcentral. Lineage: Bacteria; Pseudomonadati; Pseudomonadota; Gammaproteobacteria; Enterobacterales; Morganellaceae.